GCUGGGCAUAGUGGCGUGUGCCUGUAAUCCCAGCUACUUGGGAGGCUGAGGCAGGAGAAUCUCUUGAACCCAGGAGGCAGAGGCUACAGUGAGCCAAGAUGGUGCCACUGCACUCCAGCCUGGGCGACAGAGUGAGACUCUGUCUCAA
This 148-nucleotide small RNA is filed under the name Pongo abelii (Sumatran orangutan). Its description in RNAcentral is "Metazoan signal recognition particle RNA (ENSPPYG00000030078.1)". Lineage: Eukaryota; Metazoa; Chordata; Mammalia; Primates; Hominidae. The record is from Rfam by way of RNAcentral.